GGGUUGUGAGGUUAAGCGACUAAGCGUACACGGUGGAUGCCCUGGCAGUCAGAGGCGAUGAAGGACGUGCUAAUCUGCGAUAAGCGCCGGUAAGGUGAUAUGAACCGUUAUAACCUUAGUGGAAGCGUCUGGAAAGGCGCGCGAUACAGGGUGACAGCCCCGUACACAAAAGCGCAUGUGCUGUGAGCUCGAUGAGUAGGGCGGGACACGUGGUAUCCUGUCUGAAUAUGGGGGGACCAUCCUCCAAGGCUAAAUACUCCUGACUGACCGAUAGUGAACCAGUACCGUGAGGGAAAGGCGAAAAGAACCCCGGCGAGGGGAGUGAAAAAGAACCUGAAACCGUGUACGUACAAGCAGUGGGAGCACAGGUUUACCUGUGUGACUGCGUACCUUUUGUAUAAUGGGUCAGCGACUUAUAUUCUGUAGCAAGGUUAACCGAAUAGGGGAGCCGGAGGGAAACCGAGUCUUAAYYGGGCGUUAAGUUGCAGGGUAUAGACCCGAAACCCGGUGAUCUAGCCAUGGGCAGGUUGAAGGUUGGGUAACACUAACUGGAGGACCGAACCGACUAAUGUUGAAAAAUUAGCGGAUGACCUGUGGCUGGGGGUGAAAGGCCAAUCAAACCGGGAGAUAGCUGGUUCUCCCCGAAAGCUAUUUAGGUAGCGCCUCGUGAAUUCAUCUCCGGGGGUAG
RNAcentral lists this ribosomal RNA (688 nucleotides) under Salmonella enterica subsp. enterica serovar Infantis. Its description in RNAcentral is "partial 23S ribosomal RNA". Lineage: Bacteria; Pseudomonadati; Pseudomonadota; Gammaproteobacteria; Enterobacterales; Enterobacteriaceae. The record is from RNAcentral.